GGGGUAAAAUUAAUAAUUUAUUUAUUAAUAAAAGAAAUUUUAAUAUUAAAAUAUUUAAUGGGGGUUAAAGUAUUUUUAAUUGAAAAAAUUUGAAAUUUUAUAGUGAAGUAGGUAUUGUGAAAGAAUUUUGAAAUAAUAUUUAAAUAAGAAUUAAUUUAAAAGUAAAUUUUAUUUAUUGUAUCUUGUGUAUCAGAGUUUAUUAAAAAUUUUUUAUUUAAAUUAAAUUUCUCGAAUUUAAAAGAGUUAGUUAAUUAAUAAAUUUAUUAUUUCAUAAAUAUUUUAAAUAAUUAAUUAGAAAUGAAAUGUUAUUCGUUUUUAAAUAUAUCUAGUUAUUUUAGAAAAAAAUUUAAUUUUUAAUUUAAAUUUAAAAUUAAUUAAUUAAUUAAUUAAUUUUAAAUUUAAAUUUAAUAUUUUAAGGGAUAAGCUUUAAUUUAAAAUUUUAUAAUAAAAUAAAUAAUAUUUGAAAAUUUUAUAAUUUAUAUUGUUAAUAAAUUUUAAUUUAUUAUAAAUAAUUUCAAUAAAUUUAAAAAUUUAAUUAAAAUUUAAUUUUUUAUAAAAAAAUUUUUUUUUAUAAUAAAAAAUUAGUUAUAAUGAUAAAAUUAGUAUAUAUUUAAAUAUAAAAUUUAGUUUAUAAUUUUAAAAAAAUUAUUUUAAAGGAAUUCGACAAAAAAUUAUAUUCACCUGUUUAUCAAAAACAUGUCUUUUUGUUAAAUAAUUUAAAGUCUAAUCUGCCCACUGAUUUUUUAUUAAAGGGCUGCAGUAUAUUGACUGUACAAAGGUAGCAUAAUCAUUAGUCUCUUAAUUGGUGACUUGUAUGAAAGAUUGGAUGAAAUAUAAAUUGUCUCUAAAUUAUUUAUUAGAAAUUAAUUUUUUAAUUAAAAAGUUAAAAUAAAUUAAAAAGACGAGAAGACCCUAUAGAGUUUGAUAUUUAAUUAUUUUUAAGUUUUUAAUUAAUAUUGUUUUAUUUUAAAAUUAAUUAAUUAUUUUAUUGGGGUGAUAAAAAAAUAAAUUAAACUUUUUUUAAUUUUAAACAUAAAUAAUUGAUUAAUUGAUCCAAUAUUUUUGAUUAUAAGAAAAAAUUACCUUAGGGAUAACAGCGUAAUUUUUUUUUUUAGUUCAAAUAAGAGAAAAAGUUUGCGACCUCGAUGUUGGAUUAAGAUAAAAUUUAAAUGUAGAAGUUUAAAAUUUUGAUCUGUUCGAUCAUUAAAAUCUUACAUGAUCUGAGUUCAAACCGGUGUAAGCCAGGUUGGUUUCUAUCUUUUAAAUAAUUUUAUAUUUUAGUACGAAAGGAUUAAAUAUUGUAAUUAAAUUAAGUUAAAUUGAAUUCUAUUAAGAAGAAAAUAGAUUUA
Molecule: ribosomal RNA, 1349 nt
Filed under: Cechetra lineosa
Lineage: Eukaryota; Metazoa; Arthropoda; Insecta; Lepidoptera; Sphingidae
Description: 16S ribosomal RNA
Source: RNAcentral